UACGUAGGGACCAAGCGUUGUUCGGAUUUACUGGGCGUAAAGGGCGCGUAGGCGGCAUGACAAGUCACUUGUGAAAUCUCUGGGCUUAACUCGGAACGGUCAAGUGAUACUGUCGCGCUAGAGUGCGGAAGGGGCAAUCAGAAUUCUUGGUGUAGCGGUGAAAUGCGUAGAUAUCAAGAGGAAUACCUGAGGUGAAGACGGGUUGCUAGGCCGACACUGACGCUGAAGCGCGAAAGCCAGGGGAGCAAACGGG
This 253-nucleotide ribosomal RNA is filed under the name uncultured bacterium. RNAcentral describes it as "partial 16S ribosomal RNA". It matches the Rfam family "Bacterial small subunit ribosomal RNA", at positions 524 to 776 of the family's 1533-position model. The record is from RNAcentral.